This is a non-coding RNA of Lytechinus variegatus (green sea urchin), 74 nucleotides long. Lineage: Eukaryota; Metazoa; Echinodermata; Echinoidea; Temnopleuroida; Toxopneustidae. The record is from the annotation of a RefSeq genome assembly.
GGCCUGGUGGCCAAGUGGUUACGGCCUCUGUUUGAUAAACAGAAGAUCGAGGGUUCGAUUCCCUCCCAUGGCCU